AUCCUGCUGAACUCCAGCCAGGGUUUCCCAAGGCUUUUUAGACAUCGUAGCUAUAGCAACGGGAACCCAAACAACUCUGUUCCCUACAUGACAUGACUUUGUUGGGUGUUUCUUACAGUUGGAAUUCAGCUGUGAUCAAAUGUAGAGGUGACAGCUCCGCCGAGGAGGUAUAACACACACACAGCAGGACCUAAUCAAGCUGCAAAGUCACCUGAAGAGAUGAGAGCAGUGGGAGCUGUAGGCAAUACGGGUGGAUUCAGGAGCAAUGCCAGCCCCACACCACACAGCGGAGAAAUCAAUCGCACUGUCACAAAAUGAAGAUUAGAAAUAGGAAUUUCUUCCUCCAUCAAAGUCAGCCUGAUGGACUGGAGCAGACACAUAAAAACAUGAUCUCAUUGAGUCAAAGGAGGUUGCACAAGAAGAACCUGAAAGACACUGGAGGGCCUUGACCACAACCUCACUCAUGAAGGGGAAAAUACUCAACUUGUAUAAUUUCUUAUGGAACUCACUUCCAAAAACAGUCUUUGCACUUGCACGAAACAAAAGACAGAAUGACCACCAGGCUGAUCACAAUAUGUCCCAAUCCAGCUGCAGCAAACAUGUCUUUCCUGUGAAAAUCUAUACACCUGUGAAAGCUGAAGGAAAAGCUCCAACUGGAACCACCAUCCUCAACUGUUACAUGAAGUUGUGUCUUCAUCUACAAGACUUGCAAGCUGAAGGCUACAAAAUAAACUUGGUGACAACGUCCAAAUGCUUCAACACAUCACUGAACGGCUGUUACAAAAACCCCUGUCACUAA
RNAcentral lists this long non-coding RNA (799 nucleotides) under Calidris pugnax (ruff). Its description in RNAcentral is "lncRNA (ENSCPUG00000011586.1)". The record is from RNAcentral. Lineage: Eukaryota; Metazoa; Chordata; Aves; Charadriiformes; Scolopacidae.